Molecule: ribosomal RNA, 255 nt
Filed under: uncultured bacterium
Lineage: Bacteria
Description: partial 16S ribosomal RNA
Rfam family: Bacterial small subunit ribosomal RNA
Source: RNAcentral
UACAGAGGGUGCGAGCGUUGUUCGGAAUUAUUGGGCGUAAAGGGCUCGUAGGCGGCCAACUAAGUCAGACGUGAAAUCCCUCGGCUUAACCGGGGAACUGCCUCUGAUACUGGAUGGCUUGAGAUUGGGAGAGGGAUGCGGAAUUCCUGGUGUAGCGGUGAAAUGCGCAGAUAUCAGGAGGAACACCAAUGGGCGAAGGCAGCUCACUGGGACGGUACUGACGCUGAGAACGGCGAAAGCGUGGGGAGAACAGGA